Non-coding RNA from Cyphellophora europaea CBS 101466, 72 nucleotides. Lineage: Eukaryota; Fungi; Ascomycota; Eurotiomycetes; Chaetothyriales; Cyphellophoraceae. The record is from the annotation of a RefSeq genome assembly.
UCCGCAAUGGUGUAAUGGCUAACAUCAGUCGCUCUCACCGACUAGCUCGGGGUUCGAUUCCCCGUUGCGGAA